CAAGUCUUUUGUCCCAUUUGUUUUACUUUUUCUUCCAAUUUCAAGAAAGUGGCGUCAGCCACUUCCCUUUUCCCCUUUUUUUUUUUGCUUGUUGGCUUUUCUUCUUCUGUUUCUUCUUGGCUGCUGCUUCCUUUUUUUGUUUUUUUUUUCUUCUUUGCUUUUGGUUUGCUGCGCAUCCAUAAGUUGUCAACAGGAACGUGGCUAUCCUUUUUCUUUUAAAGACCUCCAUCCUUCCUUCUUCCUUCCGUGGUUUUGAUUGUUCGCAAACAAUCCCCAGAUGAAGAAUUCAAAGAAUAGGCUGCAUAAACGUGGCCUCCCUUUUCAAGCUUUGUUCCUCUUUUUUUUGUGCACACAGCUGAUUUUUAUUUGCUGUGAGGUUAAAUCCCUCCAUGAUUAUGUUUGUGGGUUUUGUACCCAAAUUGGAUUUGUGCUCUUGAGAGAGGCUGUGACAGAAAAACAUGGCCUCUAUUUUCUCUCCCUUUUUUUUUACAGAUCUCCAUUUUUUUCUCUGCCUAUUCUUUUCUUCAUGACUAACAUCCUUUACAUUUUUUUUGAUGUAGUUUGCUCAGAGAGAAAAAUAAAGGCCUUCUUAAGCAGAGAGGGAGAGGAGCGGUGAGAGAGCCCAAGAGGUUUGUGAUUGGGAUUCUCUGACAUAUCUGUUCAUCAAUCUGCUGAUGCAAGAUGCAUGAAGCUGCUAUGGCUGCUGUUGAAGAGAAACUAACGUCACUUGCGAGUUGGGGUUCAUCUCCAUGCAUAAUCAAAGAAACUCACUUUAAGCAAGCACUGGCUAAAAUCACACCCUCUCUAAGCGACAAGGAUUUGCGAGACUAUGGGAAUUUCCGAAAGCAGCAGGGCAAAUGGACUUCAAAAAGGAAAGCAAGAAAAGGAGAACAUGUUUGUCAAGAAUGUCCUUACCGAUUUUUCAUUUAUUUUUAUUUAACUAGCUUUAUUUUAAGGUAUUUAUUUUUUUAAUCAAUGUAAUCUUCCCUUCAAACUCAAUUUUGAUAUUCGGAAAUCGAAGGAUCAUCGUUGCAAUUCUCUUUUUGCUUUGAGGAAAUAAAUAAAUAAUAAUAAAAAGCGAGCUACAUUUGGGCCCUCUA
Long non-coding RNA from Prunus persica (peach), 1100 nucleotides. RefSeq lists it as uncharacterized. The transcript is spliced from 3 exons. NCBI's taxonomy places the organism in Eukaryota, Viridiplantae, Streptophyta, Magnoliopsida, Rosales, Rosaceae. The record is from RefSeq and is a predicted model, not a curated record.